UGGGCAUUUUUUUUAGGGUUUGUCAGUUUAGGCUCUGUGUUUUGAUUGGUCUCAGACUCUGGUUGUGAUCCGUGGUUAAAGAUAAAGACUGCCUUUUGUUAUUAUUUUAGAGAGAGAAAGAGAGAUUACGAAUUUUAGGGUUAGGGCAAAGAAAAACAAUGCCCCUAACGUUGAGAUUUUAUUUCCUAAAACCCUACCCAAAUGUAUUUAGAAAAAAAAAAAAACUCACACACUCUAUCUAAAGUCCCACCCUAAAAGUAAGAUCCUCUCUCUCUCUCCUAAAAGUCUAUCCUCUCUCUCUUCACUACCCCUAAAUUUUACCCUCUCCCUAAGGUAAGAUACCCCUCUCUACUUAGACUGAAUCCCUCUCAUUCUCUCUCUCUCAAACAUACCCUGAAUUUUACCCUCUAGAGUAAGAUACUAUUUCUUUCUCUCUCUUCCUGUGUCCAAAAAGUAUAUUAAAGGAAUGUUAUUAAAUAAGGAUGCAACCACCAAUCUGCCAUUUGCUUGUAUGUGAAUUCACCUCUUUGUUUGGAUGGGAAGAAGCAUGAGAGUGAUUUCAUGCUAGGUGGGGCUCUAGUGAGAGAGUGAGCACUUCACCUAGAGAGAGAGGGAGGAAGAGGGGUGAAAACACCUAGUACAGCGUUAGAGAGAGAGUUAGGUGAAGUCUAGAGAGAGAGGGGGAGGAAGAGGGGUGAAAACACCUACUACAGGUUUAUAGAGAGAGUGAAUGAUUCUACAUAAGUGAAUUGGCCAAUCAUUAUAGAGAGAGAAAGCAAUAACUUCUAAUAGAGAAAAAGCAACCUCAAAUUUGUGCAUUUUAUAGAAGAGAAUAGUCUCAUGAGGUAACUGAUUAUUCUUUUCUCUUUCCAAACAUGAGGUAAGAAUUAAAGAAGUAUUUUUACAAAGUGAAUAGAUGUUAUCAAGAUUAUCUUAUAUCUUGACUUUUCCUUUUCAUCAACUCUCUCUCUCUCUCUCUCUGCUACAUUAGAAACUCCUAAAACUUGAAAAAUCGCUCUCUCUCUAAAUCAGUGGAAGACCCAAGACAUCUUCUCUCUCAAGAUACACCAGCACCCCAAAACUUUGGUUAGCAGCCCUUCAUAGGAGUAACCACAGGAAUUAUGGUAGCAUUUAGAAAGCUAUGGUUCUUUAGGGAGAUUUUUCCAUGUGAUAUUAAUAAAAAACCCUCAUUGGAGCCCGUUUGUUGGAACCACCAAAAAGGACUAACUUGAAACACAAUAACACUAUGACAGCUUGUGC
RNAcentral lists this long non-coding RNA (1260 nucleotides) under Amborella trichopoda. RNAcentral describes it as "long non-coding RNA (ATRI_LNC001594)". Lineage: Eukaryota; Viridiplantae; Streptophyta; Magnoliopsida; Amborellales; Amborellaceae. The record is from RNAcentral.